UACGGGGGGGGCAAGCGUUGUUCGGAAUUACUGGGCGUAAAGAGCUCGUAGGCGGUCUGUCACGUCGGAUGUGAAAACUCGGGGCUCAACCCCGAGCCUGCAUACGAUACGGGCAGACUUGAGUUCGGCAGGGGAGACUGGUAUUCCUGGUGUAGCGGUGAAAUGCGCAGAUAUCAGGAGGAACACCGGUGGCGAAGGCGGGUCUCUGGGCAGUAACUGACGCUGAGGAGCGAAAGCGUGGGGAGCGAACAGG
RNAcentral lists this ribosomal RNA (253 nucleotides) under uncultured bacterium. Its description in RNAcentral is "partial 16S ribosomal RNA". It matches the Rfam family "Bacterial small subunit ribosomal RNA", at positions 524 to 776 of the family's 1533-position model. The record is from RNAcentral.